GACCAACGCUGGCGGCGUGCUUAACACAUGCAAGUCGAACGGAAAGGCCCUGCUUUUGUGGGGUGCUCGAGUGGCGAACGGGUGAGUAACACGUGAGUAACCUGCCCUUGACUUUGGGAUAACUUCAGGAAACUGGGGCUAAUACCGGAUAGGAGCUCCUGCUGCAUGGUGGGGGUUGGAAAGUUUCGGCGGUUGGGGAUGGACUCGCGGCUUAUCAGCUUGUUGGUGGGGUAGUGGCUUACCAAGGCUUUGACGGGUAGCCGGCCUGAGAGGGUGACCGGCCACAUUGGGGCUGAGAUACGGCCCAGACUCCUACGGGAGGCAGCAGUGGGGAAUAUUGCACAAUGGGCGGAAGCCUGAUGCAGCAACGCCGCGUGCGGGAUGACGGCCUUCGGGUUGUAAACCGCUUUCGCCUGUGACGAAGCGUGAGUGACGGUAAUGGGUAAAGAAGCACCGGCUAACUACGUGCCAGCAGCCGCGGUGAUACGUAGGGUGCGAGCGUUGUCCGGAUUUAUUGGGCGUAAAGGGCUCGUAGGUGGUUGAUCGCGUCGGAAGUGUAAUCUUGGGGCUUAACCCUGAGCGUGCUUUCGAUACGGGUUGACUUGAGGAAGGUAGGGGAGAAUGGAAUUCCUGGUGGAGCGGUGGAAUGCGCAGAUAUCAGGAGGAACACCAGUGGCGAAGGCGGUUCUCUGGGCCUUUCCUGACGCUGAGGAGCGAAAGCGUGGGGAGCGAACAGGCUUAGAUACCCUGGUAGUCCACGCUGUAAACGGUGGGUACUAGGUGUGGGGUCCAUUCCACGGGUUCCGUGCCGUAGCUAACGCUUUAAGUACCCCGCCUGGGGAGUACGGCCGCAAGGCUAAAACUCAAAGGAAUUGACGGGGCCCCGCACAAGCGGCGGAGCAUGCGGAUUAAUUCGAUGCAACGCGUAGAACCUUACCUGGGUUUGACAUGGAUCGGGAGUGCUCAGAGAUGGGUGUGCCUCUUUUGGGGUCGGUUCACAGGUGGUGCAUGGCUGUCGUCAGCUCGUGUCGUGAGAUGUUGGGUUAAGUCCCGCAACGAGCGCAACCCUUGUUCACUGUUGCCAGCACGUUAUGGUGGGGACUCAGUGGAGACCGCCGGGGUCAACUCGGAGGAAGGUGGGGAUGACGUCAAGUCAUCAUGCCCCUUAUGUCCAGGGCUUCACGCAUGCUACAAUGGCUGGUACAGAGAGUGGCGAGCCUGUGAGGGUGAGCGAAUCUCGGAAAGUCGGUCUCAUUUCGGAUUGGGGUCUGCAACUCGACCUCACGAAGUGGGAUUGGCUUGUCCUCCAAAUCAGCUCCGCUGCGGUGGUUNNNUUCCC
Molecule: ribosomal RNA, 1339 nt
Filed under: uncultured bacterium
Lineage: Bacteria
Description: bacterial SSU rRNA
Rfam family: Bacterial small subunit ribosomal RNA
Source: RNAcentral